This 700-nucleotide ribosomal RNA is filed under the name uncultured bacterium. RNAcentral's name for it is "bacterial SSU rRNA". It matches the Rfam family "Bacterial small subunit ribosomal RNA", at positions 94 to 828 of the family's 1533-position model. The record is from RNAcentral.
AGUGGCGGACGGGUGAGUAACGCGUAAGAAUCUAACUUCAGGACGGGGACAACAGUUGGAAACGACUGCUAAUACCCGAUAUGCCGCGAGGUGAAACCUAAUUGGCCUGAAGAAGAGCUUGCGUCUGAUUAGCUAGUUGGUGGGGUAAGAGCCUACCAAGGCGACGAUCAGUAGCUGGUCUGAGAGGAUGAGCAGCCACACUGGGACUGAGACACGGCCCAGACUCCUACGGGAGGCAGCAGUGGGGAAUUUUCCGCAAUGGGCGAAAGCCUGACGGAGCAACGCCGCGUGAGGGAGGAAGGUCUUUGGAUUGUAAACCUCUUUUCUCAAGGAAGAAGUUCUGACGGUACUCGAGGAAUCAGCCUCGGCUAACUCCGUGCCAGCAGCCGCGGUAAUACGGGGGAGGCAAGCGUUAUCCGGAAUUAUUGGGCGUAAAGCGUCCGCAGGUGGUCAGCCAAGUCUGCCGUCAAAUCAGGUUGCUUAACGACCUAAAGGCGGUGGAAACUGGCAGACUAGAGAGCAGUAGGGGUAGCAGGAAUUCCCAGUGUAGCGGUGAAAUGCGUAGAGAUUGGGAAGAACAUCGGUGGCGAAAGCGUGCUACUGGGCUGUAUCUGACACUCAGGGACGAAAGCUAGGGGAGCGAAAGGGAUUAGAUACCCCUGUAGUCCUAGCCGUAAACGAUGGAUACUAGGCGUGGCUU